AGCUUUGCACAGUGGCAGUAUCGUAGCCAAUGAGGUUUAUCUGAGGUGUGAUUAUUGCUAAUUGAAUAUACAUCCAGAAGUGGGGUAGCUGAGUCAUAUGCUAUAUGUACUUUUAUUUUUUGAAGGGCUUCCAUACC
Molecule: small nuclear RNA, 137 nt
Filed under: Chinchilla lanigera (long-tailed chinchilla)
Lineage: Eukaryota; Metazoa; Chordata; Mammalia; Rodentia; Chinchillidae
Description: U4 spliceosomal RNA (ENSCLAG00000021040.1)
Rfam family: U4 spliceosomal RNA
About the family: U4 small nuclear RNA (U4 snRNA) is a component of the major U2-dependent spliceosome. The structure of U4 snRNA from yeast and human has been reported.
Source: Rfam by way of RNAcentral